AGCUAAGAUCAAAGUGUAGUAUCUGUUCUUAUCAGCUUAAUAUCUGAUACAGUCCCCAUAGGGGGCUCAGUAUAUUAAUCUAUUUUUUGGAACCAGGCGGGUGAACGGGGCUUGCUCCGACCUUGCCACGGGUCGACCCUGCAUUGCAUUGCAGCAGGGUACGGCUCAGCAUAGUAAAUAAAACAAAAUUUUUAUUAUAUUUUACCUGUCUGAUCUCAAGAAAUGGAUGCGAUAGUAGUGGAGUGCGCGAAAUUGUGAAAAAGUGACUUUGUGGACAUCUCGGACUUUGGCGCGAAUACUGAGCCCCCUGCGUCGUCGGCGGCCUAUCGGGAUAAGUUCCAUGCGAUAGACCGAGUUUUCAGCUUUAAUUUCAUGUAUAAUAAGUACAAGUUCCAUUUCAUAAUACUCGUGCAACAGCUGAACGCAUGGAACAUGACGGCCGCCGCGGCGCAACAUCUGCGCGCGGUACCUGACGCAUCCGCCGCUGACAGUCUCAAUGCAGCAUAAUUUGCCGCUAACGUAUAAACUCUUCUGCUAAGAAUCCCGACGAGAAUAAACGAUUAUCACAAGAAAUACGCAUUUUUCAUCGCAAGAUGAAUUUCAACGUAUCAGUCUGCUAGUCACGAAGAUCAUAUAUACUCCUUGCCAAGCAGACAUAAGAAUCUCCGAUUUCCCGCGCUGUAUUUUACGACGCCGUCACUACUACCUCGAUACUCAUACUUGCGGAAUGGUGAUUUCGAACAAUACAGGUGUAUCGGGGGAAAGUAUACAAUGGCGAUGGCGAUGGCGAUAGUGGACGGAGUGAAAGUCGAGAUAAUACCGCGCGAUCGUCAACAAACAUGAUGAAGAAUGAUCGUUUGUUUGAGUGGUUUGUUCGACUAAUUGACAUGUCCCAAAUAUGCAAAAUCGUGAUGACAUCAUAAGUCGCAUAUAAAAUUUGUUCAAUUUGAUAGAAAUAUUCACGAUUGCGGAUAUAGAUUAAUAUUUAAUUCUACAUAAUAUUCAUCACACGGGAGAAAGGUUCAGUGAUCCAAUGGAUUCAACCAGAGAAAUCAGUUCUGAUCCAAUGGCGCGACGAUAAGCCGGAACAAAAUCGAUCGAUCGUUUCGGUCGACAUCACUUGCUCUACGCGGCUCGUUGUCAUUCGUUAUCAGCAAUUGCAAGAGGAAAAGAGAAAUUCAACCUUGAUGAAAGUGACCACCGCAUCGACGAAUGAUGACUUCGGAUAAGGAAUCUAGUGUAUCGGGAUAACGGUGUAUUUUUUCUUCGCAAGAAAUGCGCUUUACUCUUCUCAUCGAUAUUAUCAUUAUCGCAUUCUUCGGCCUAACUUUUAACUUUUAUGUACUGCAAAAAGAUCAUUGUUAACCGAUAUUACAGUUUACACUGUCGCGCCUAAAUACCUCUACAGUGAAAAAAUGUAUCAGGUUGCGUUGUAAACGAGGGAACGAUACGAAUCUGCUUAUGCCGAGCAAAACGACGGGGAUGCACGUCGCGGGUCACCGCUUUUCGCGCGCACCCGGGCACUCGGCGAAGUCACCCAAGGCGAGAGAACGAUGAUGAACGUCUCGCCUCGAACACGAAACCCGGUUGAUUUUUGCCUUCAUGCUCUGCCAACCAUGCGCCGCGGUAAUUCGUCAGCUCGCGACCAUGCGACCGACCACGCCCGUAGGAAGAAUUGAACAUAGAUGCUACUACCGUUCGUUACUUCGCAUUCCUGGAUUAAAUCACGAUACGAUUGCGAUCGGUGUUUAGUGUCCAUUCAAGCAAGCCUAAAGAUAAAUGGCAUGCUGAAAACGUGCAUUCUAUGUGUUGCAGUAAAAUAUUAAUAUGCAAAUAUUAUCAAUUUAAUAUAAAAAUGAAUACUUA
Long non-coding RNA from Acromyrmex echinatior (Panamanian leafcutter ant), 1866 nucleotides. NCBI's taxonomy places the organism in Eukaryota, Metazoa, Arthropoda, Insecta, Hymenoptera, Formicidae. The record is from RefSeq and is a predicted model, not a curated record.